This is an RNA transcript of Octodon degus (degu), 184 nucleotides long. RefSeq lists it as uncharacterized. NCBI's taxonomy places the organism in Eukaryota, Metazoa, Chordata, Mammalia, Rodentia, Octodontidae. The transcript is spliced from 3 exons. The record is from RefSeq and is a predicted model, not a curated record.
UUCUAGCUUGCAGAGAGUGCCGAAGGGAACUAGAGGAGACUGGGCAUCUAGUUUUACUUCUACAAAGCCUCCUACACAAGCUCCCUGGAAACGCCAGAUCCAAUGAGCUCUCUCAUGGAGAUGCCCCAGAACCCCAAGAAGAGAAGCCCGCCUUGAGGAGAGUGUUGCCAGGCACUGGACCCCA